GCAGGUACAGCGGGAAGCCACCUGGCGACAGGGAGCGGAACCCGAAAGCCUGUCUCAGUUCGGAUUGGAGCUGNAACCCGACUCCAUGAAGCUGGAUUCGCUAGUAAUCGCGCAUCAGCCACGGCGCGGUGAAUACGUUCCCGGGCCUUGUACACACCGCCCGUCAAGCCAUGGAAGCCGGGGGUGCCUGAAGUGCGCUGCCGCAAGGAGCGCCCUAGGGUAAAACCGGUGACUGGGGCUAAGUCGUAACAAGGUACC
Molecule: ribosomal RNA, 258 nt
Filed under: uncultured bacterium
Lineage: Bacteria
Description: partial 16S ribosomal RNA
Rfam family: Bacterial small subunit ribosomal RNA
Source: RNAcentral